Long non-coding RNA from Mustela erminea (ermine), 464 nucleotides. RefSeq lists it as uncharacterized. The transcript is spliced from 3 exons. The record is from RefSeq and is a predicted model, not a curated record. Lineage: Eukaryota; Metazoa; Chordata; Mammalia; Carnivora; Mustelidae.
CACGGCCUUGCCAGAGGGAUCCAGCCUGAAUCUGACCAGCCUCUGGACCGUUGCUAAUAUACAGGAAAAAAGAAAUAAGUAACGAGAGAGGAGCUGGUUGAGCUGUACUAUAAAUACACCAUCAGCAGAAUCCAGGACUGUGGGAAACUCCACGGGUCCAACAGCCUGGGAUUUUCAUCAUGAAAUUGUGAGAAAGGCAGGGUGAGUGACCUUGAAGAUUAAGAGACCGAAAAGUACAAAAGGUUAAGAUUAUUUAAACCAAGUCCUGUAAUCAUUGUCUUCCCUGAAAAUUCUGCAUGGAAUUAAAACAGAAGUGACUUGUUAAUGAACUGGAUGCAGGCUGGACUCAAGGAACUUCGAUUUAUAUAAUAGGAUAAUACAGUGAGUCUACGUGGGCUGGAAGGCUGCUGUCGAUGACCGUAUCUCAGAAGGGCCCAAGAUGAUGGAUAACUAAGAAGUCCACA